Molecule: long non-coding RNA, 875 nt
Filed under: Homo sapiens (human)
Lineage: Eukaryota; Metazoa; Chordata; Mammalia; Primates; Hominidae
Description: uncharacterized LOC101928965, transcript variant 7 (LOC101928965)
Source: RNAcentral
AGUUUCCGCAGUCGAUGAUGGCGUUGUAGGAGGCGUUUACCGAGCCGAAGUAGUACUGGGUCUGUUUCAUGACGCAGCUGCUCUCGCGCGUCUCGGGGCUCCCCUCGGCCUCCGCGGGGUCUGCGAGGGCCCAGAGCGCCUCAGCUCCGCCCACAGACCCUGGCAAGGUCUCCGGCCUCCCUCAGUCGUAGACCCCACCCUCCCCAUGGAGUCGUCUUAGCUCAGAUUGGGGACCCGGACUUGAGGAGGCGCCUCCAAAGCCCUACCUACCUGCUUGGAACCAGCUGUGGUAGAUGAGGCCGUAGAGAAGCUGCUGGAACAGGGACCUGCAGCGCACGGGGAGCCGAGUGCAGCACCAGGAAUCCUCCAUCAUCAAUGAGGACACAGAGCUGCGGCGGUAGAAGCUGGCAUUGAAGGGCUCAGGGUUCUCUGUCCAGUCCUCAGCUGCCCUGGAGCACCCAAGAGGCAGACUGGCUGGGUGAUGCCUACGUGUUGAGAUCCUGGUCCCUCCACACACGCUCUACCAGCUGCUGCGUGAUGCCCGUGUCCAAGAUCAGGUUGUGCAGAAGGAAGUUGUUGCCUGGAACAGGAGGGGAGGGGUGGGGGUGGGGGCAUCUUCUUGCAGCUCCUUGCCCACCCUCACCCCCACCCUUAAGGCUCCACCAGGAGCCUCCUCCAUGACCUGGCCCUGGCCCAGGCCCAGCCCUUAGCUUGUGCCUGCUUAUUUCCACACCUGCCCGGCCUCUGGGUUCCUCUGGGCUGGCCCCAUGCUGCCUGGGCACUGCCCAGAGCCAGCUGCCCUGCCAGGCACUCACACUGCUUGGAGUCUGGAGUCACUUUCUCCAUGAGCUCAAUAAAGUUUUUCAGGAACUCGG